This 184-nucleotide ribosomal RNA is filed under the name Trypanosoma otospermophili. RNAcentral describes it as "28S delta ribosomal RNA". The stretch from base 25 to 184 matches the Rfam family "Eukaryotic large subunit ribosomal RNA", at positions 3007 to 3164 of the family's 3401-position model. Lineage: Eukaryota; Euglenozoa; Kinetoplastea; Trypanosomatida; Trypanosomatidae. The record is from RNAcentral.
GUGAGAUUGUGAAGGGAUCUCGCAGGUAUCGUGAGGGAAGUAUGGGGUAGUACGAGCAGGAACUCCCAUGCCGUGCCUCUGGUUUCUGGAGUUUGUCGAACGGCAAGUGCUCCGACGCUAUCGCACGGUGGUUCUCGGCUGAACGCCUCUAAGCCAGAAGCCAAUCCCAAGACCAGAUGCCCAU